AUGAGUCUACCGCUUACAAGAAAAGAUCUCAUGAUAGUCAAUAUGGGCCCUCAACACCCAUCAAUGCAUGGUGUUCUUCGACUGAUCGUUACUCUCGAUGGUGAGGAUGUUAUUGAUUGUGAACCCAUAUUAGGCUAUUUAGACAGAGGAAUGGAAAACAUCGCGGAAAACCGAACUAUUAUACAAUACUUACCUUAUGUAACAAGGUGGGAUUAUUUAGCUACUAUGUUUACAGAAGCAAUAACAGUAAAUGCACCAGAAUUCUUGGAGAAUAUUCAAAUACCACAAAGAGCCAGCUAUAUUAGGGUAAUUAUGUUAGAAUUAAGCCGGAUAGCUUCUCACUUGCUAUGGCUUGGACCUUUUAUGGCGGAUCUCGGCGCACAGACUCCUUUUUUCUAUAUUUUUAGAGAGAGAGAAUUAAUAUAUGAUCUAUUUGAAGCUGCUACAGGUUUUAUUAGCGGAGAAGAAGCAUUAAAUUGGGGCUUAUCGGGACCAAUGUUACGAGCUUCUGGAAUACAAUGGGAUCUUCGUAAAGUAGAUCCUUAUGAGUCUUACAACCAAUUUGAUUGGAAAGUCCAAUGGCAAAAAGAAGGGGAUUCGUUAGCUCGCUAUUUAGUACGAAUUGGUGAAAUGAGGGAAUCCAUCAAAAUAAUUCAACAAGCUGUAGAAAAAAAUUCCUAG
RNAcentral lists this ribosomal RNA (681 nucleotides) under Triticum aestivum (bread wheat). RNAcentral's name for it is "partial small subunit ribosomal RNA". The record is from RNAcentral. Lineage: Eukaryota; Viridiplantae; Streptophyta; Magnoliopsida; Poales; Poaceae.